Raphanus sativus (radish) is the source of this 1236-nucleotide long non-coding RNA. RefSeq lists it as uncharacterized. The transcript has 6 exons. Lineage: Eukaryota; Viridiplantae; Streptophyta; Magnoliopsida; Brassicales; Brassicaceae. The record is from RefSeq and is a predicted model, not a curated record.
AACACAACACCGUCACUUGGCUAGCUUUCUGGAAUGAUCCUAUCAAAAAGAGUUUAACUAUGUAUUUUUGGCAGCUGGCAGUGCCUUAAAAGGUCAGAGUGACAAGGAGAAGUAUGAGAAAGCCAAAAAUCUUACGAACAACAUAGACAAUAUAAGAGCAACUUUCACCAAAACUUUUACAUCUAAGGAUGUUACAAAGAAGCAAAUUGAUGUCACUACUUAUCUCAUUGAUAAACUGGCGGUUAGGACUGGAAAUGAGAAGCUAAUAUAAGCAGGAUCAUGAAGAGUGCGUUGCCUCCCAACGGAAUGAUCGGUAAAGAUGCUAAAGAUACAGUCCAGGAAUGCGUCUCCGAGUACAUCAGCUUCAUUACCAGGGAGCAUAGCCAGAGACAAGUGCCAGAAAGAGAAAUGGAAAACUGUGAAUGGUGAGGAUUUGUUGCGGGCAAUGUCAACAUUAGAUUUCGAGAAUUACUUGGAAUCCCUUAAAGCUGUACCAUGCGAGGUACAUUGAGGUAGGUUACAUUUACUCUUAACCCCUUUAUUUUUUACAGAGCCUAUUAUAGUUCCACAGAUUAGUAAGUUACUCGCCAAUGGAGAUACUAGCAACAUUUUUCUAUGUGUUUUGUUGUUGGCAAUCUGCUGUCAACAGAUAAAGUUCAUGAAGCAUAACGUCGAUGCAGUCUCUUUGCAAUGGUGUGAUGCCUUCAAGCAAAAGCAAAAAGCCAGUCAGCAGAACAUUUAUUUUGAGAAAGCCAGGUGGUUGUUCUUAGCGUGUCUUCACUGUCCAUGUAGAGGCUGUGAAGCAAAGUGAAGAAACAUCUAUCUAUAAUGAAGGUGUGACGUCAUUCAAAAUUAAUUUUCCUUCAAAGGUGUGUGGCUGGAGACAUCAAUCCCUUACAAGUAGUGGGUUGUUUCUCAAAGGUCAAAAAUACUCAGCUUAGAGCGGUACCACCUCCAUCAUCAUUUUUAAGGGUUAUUCCGGAGAACUAAAAACACAAAUUUUGAGUAUUUGUAUUCACUUUAUCUGAUUUGUUAUGAAUCGAAUCACUGGUAAAAGUUCAGAGUUUCUUACUCCAUUUUCAAAUGUUUAUGUGAAAGAUUCAAACCUUUCAUUUAGUUAAUAUCAUUUCUUUAACUUUAUGCUAUGUAAUUAAGGUGUUGGUCAUUUAGGCCACCCACGUUUGUCUCACUUUAGCUUUUGGCGAUUAGUCAAUCCUUUGAUGUUUUUCCUAUUAA